AGAACUUCUAAAAUUGUUAUUUUUGAACCAUACUCAAUCGUUGAAUUUUAACCAUUCUUGAAGUUCCAAUCGAAAUCGCAGAAAAACGGUUAAAUUCAAUCGGGAAAAGUUUCACUGCUGUACUCGAAAGUGUUUGCACCUUUGACAGCGCAUAAAGUUUUCGGGUGUGUUUAUUUGCUUCUCUCUGAAUCUGAUUCUGCUGCUGAUUCCGAACAAUUUUGCAAUAGAUUAAUUCAGGAGUAGAUCCGAGUGGCCAUAAGAUCCAGCGGAAAUAAUAUAAGAACAGAUCGCAUUGUGUGGCAACGGUGGCAACAGAAAAUAAUAAUCUCCGAGAAUAAUGGAAAAAAUGGUUCGUCCCAGCUGUGGAAAAAUGCUGCUCCGCACGGCUCAUCGAAAACCGUCUGGAACCACCAGAAGCAAAAUUGAGGAGGGAUCUAGCUACAGGGUUCCGGUCGGCAUAUUGAUGGCAGUAGAGAGGGCCACCAUAAAAAUCGACAGUCGGAUCCUUUCCCAGUAUGGAUCUUAUCUUGAUCAUUUGCUAAAAGAUGAGGUUCCAGGUGUAGAUUAGAUAGAUAAAGCCAGCUUUUAUUAGACCUGGA
This is a long non-coding RNA of Uranotaenia lowii, 599 nucleotides long. RefSeq lists it as uncharacterized. NCBI's taxonomy places the organism in Eukaryota, Metazoa, Arthropoda, Insecta, Diptera, Culicidae. The record is from RefSeq and is a predicted model, not a curated record. The transcript is spliced from 3 exons.